Molecule: non-coding RNA, 1422 nt
Organism: Pantherophis guttatus
Lineage: Eukaryota; Metazoa; Chordata; Lepidosauria; Squamata; Colubridae
Source: RefSeq, a predicted model, not a curated record
GAGAUAUGCUUUUUGGAGUUGAGCAGAACUAAAAACCAUGGAUGAGAAGACCAGAAAAAAUAAUGACAAUGAAUCAUGUCCUCCAUCUAUGCAGCAAUAUUGACAAAUUCUACUUACCAAGGAAAAUAUAUGGGUGUAGAAUGUUGCAACUUCAUCAAACGGUUGAAGAAGAAAAGGCAAUGGAAGAAUAUCGGAAGGACAGUAAAGAAAAUGUAUUGAAGCUAGUAUGUUGUGAAGACUUAUUGGAAAGACCAAAUUGGCCUUUAAAAAAGGCCAAAUGAAGAAUAGAAAGGCGACAUGACAAGGCAAAAUAUUACAUGUUCAGUAUACAACAAACAUAGCAGGCAAAACAGAUAACAAGAUCUGGCAAUAGCUAAGAACAAGAAAAUUGAAGAAAGAGACCAAGAAUUGAGCCAGAAUUGAGAUUACAGCAACAGAAAACAAAUGCUGCCUCUGCAAAGAAGCUGAAAAACAGUGGACCAUCUAGAUAGCUUUUGCAAGACAAUCGCACAGACUGACUAUAAGCAACAGCAUGACAAAAUAGCAACAAAGAUCUGUUGGAAGAUCUGCAAGAAAGACCAUUUGUCUGCAAGUAAGAUCUAAUGGGACCACAAAAUGUACCAAGUAGUACAAAAUGAAGAAACUAAACUGCUGUAGGACUUCAGUAUUCAAAAACACAAGAGCUGCCACAUAACACUCUAAACUUAACAAUUGUCAAUGAGAAACACAAAAAAGUUUGGAGAGUGGAAUCAGCAGUACCUGGAAUCAGCAAAAUUGAAGAGAAUGGAGAAAAUCACAACAUGCAAAAACCUACAAAUAGAAAGGCUAUGGGAAAAGAAAGCAAAGAUAGUGCUAAUAGUAAUAGUUGCCUUGGGUGCAAUAGUAAAGCAUUUGAACACUAUCAGCAUUGACAAAAUCACUAUCACUCAAUUGAAAACAAUAGAACAGCUUACAUAAUGUGACAAUACAUUUAACAUCACGAAGCAACAUUUCCCUAUCCCAGGUCUUUGGGAAAGACUUAAUAGGUGGAUGGGGAUGGUAGAGGACAGGAAGGCCUGGAGGAAAGUUGUCCAUGGGGUCGCAAUGGGUCGGACACCACUUCGCAACUAACAACAAUAACAAUAGCUAGAAGAUUCAGUAAACUGUGGUUGCCAUAGAGACAUUGCAUCAUCAUCAAGAAUACGGUCAAGUGCCCAGGAAAUGGCCUUUUGGGUAAUGGCCUUCACUACAGGAAACAUUCAAAUCUCAGAGCAAAUAUGUUCUUAAAUACAGAGUGUGGAGUGCCGUCCUUGUGACCUCUUCCAGCCUUUUCUGAUGCAGAUGAUCAGGGGAACAUAGUGAGGAGUUUGUUACUUAAAUUAUUAAUGUAUAUUGAUACAGCAUAUUAAGUAAUUAGAAAAUAAAAGCUUUGCUUAUUUUCAA